RNAcentral lists this transfer RNA (67 nucleotides) under Muda kuroiwae. RNAcentral describes it as "tRNA-Met". The record is from RNAcentral. Lineage: Eukaryota; Metazoa; Arthropoda; Insecta; Hemiptera; Cicadidae.
UAAAGGAUAAGCUAAAUUUAAGCUAUUGGGUUCAUACCUCAUUUAUGGAUGUAUUUUCCUCUUUUUA